GAUAGGCUGGAAGUGCAGGUGGCCAGCCCUGUACAUGGCUGAAGGGGUGGAUCUGGUACAGCAAAGAUGAGCUGCAAACCAGCCAACCUUUGGUAGCGAUGUGCCCCGAGAAGCUCUGUCUCUGAGGAGCAGGAGGGUGGGCUGUCAUUCCGCUCAGGUUUUCCUGCCUUCCAGAGAAGGACCUAACCACCAUGUGCUCUUGCUUCACAGGUGCCCAGAUGGGGAGCAGGACACCUCUGCCUUGAGGUGAUGGCAAAACCAUCUGGGAUCUUCACCUGGUGAUUGAAAAACGUGUUCCAUAGCACUUCAUCUUUAGAGCCUGUGGGAGUUCUUGGCCACUCAGGAGAGCUCUCCUGCAUGGCUGGGAUCCACCAACCAGUUGCUCAGCUGUCUGUACCUCUGGAAUGAGCAGCAGAGAGCAAAAGCUGUAAACUGGAUUUCUUUCUUGGAUAUGAAAGUGUUUUCUCUGAGGCCCUUUCUGAUGCCCAGGCUGUGCUGAAAAGACUCGAGCAGAGAAACUGAUGCCUCUCAAAAGGAGGUCCCUUACACUUAUUGGCCUGUGGCUAUUUGGGGAAGACAUGAAGAGAGGUUUGGUGCUGGAACCAGCUCCAGUUUGUGGGAUUUGCUGUACAGGUA
This 636-nucleotide long non-coding RNA is filed under the name Manacus vitellinus (golden-collared manakin). Its description in RNAcentral is "lncRNA (ENSMVIG00005002627.1)". Lineage: Eukaryota; Metazoa; Chordata; Aves; Passeriformes; Pipridae. The record is from RNAcentral.